GCGGCGCGUGCUAAUACAUGCAGUCGAACGAGUUCUCGUUGAUGAUCGGUGCUUGCACCGAGAUUCAACAUGGAACGAGUGGCGGACGGGUGAGUAACACGUGGGUAACCUGCCCUUAAGUGGGGGAUAACAUUUGGAAACAGAUGCUAAUACCGCAUAGAUCCAAGAACCGCAUGGUUCUUGGCUGAAAGAUGGCGUAAGCUAUCGCUUUUGGAUGGACCCGCGGCGUAUUAGCUAGUUGGUGAGGUAAUGGCUCACCAAGGCGAUGAUACGUAGCCGAACUGAGAGGUUGAUCGGCCACAUUGGGACUGAGACACGGCCCAAACUCCUACGGGAGGCAGCAGUAGGGAAUCUUCCACAAUGGACGCAAGUCUGAUGGAGCAACGCCGCGUGAGUGAAGAAGGCUUUCGGGUCGUAAAACUCUGUUGUUGGAGAAGAAUGGUCGGCAGAGUAACUGUUGUCGGCGUGACGGUAUCCAACCAGAAAGCCACGGCUAACUACGUGCCAGCAGCCGCGGUAAUACGUAGGUGGCAAGCGUUAUCCGGAUUUAUUGGGCGUAAAGCGAGCGCAGGCGGUUUUUUAAGUCUGAUGUGAAAGCCCUCGGCUUAACCGAGGAAGCGCAUCGGAAACUGGGAAACUUGAGUGCAGAAGAGGACAGUGGAACUCCAUGUGUAGCGGUGAAAUGCGUAGAUAUAUGGAAGAACACCAGUGGCGAAGGCGGCUGUCUGGUCUGUAACUGACGCUGAGGCUCGAAAGCAUGGGUAGCGAACAGGAUUAGAUACCCUGGUAGUCCAUGCCGUAAACGAUGAAUGCUAGGUGUUGGAGGGUUUCCGCCCUUCAGUGCCGCAGCUAACGCAUUAAGCAUUCCGCCUGGGGAGUACGACCGCAAGGUUGAAACUCAAAGGAAUUGACGGGGCCCGCACAAGCGGUGGAGCAUGUGGUUUAAUUCGAAGCAACGCGAAGAACCUUACCAGGUCUUGACAUCUUUUGAUCACCUGAGAGAUCAGUUCCCCUUUCGGGGCAAAUGACAGUGUGCAUGGUUGUCGUCAGCUCGUGUCGUGAGAUGUUGGUAGUCCGCACGAGCGCACCUAUGACUAGUGCCAGCAUAGUUGGGCACUCUAGUAGGACUGCGUGACCAGCGGAGCAGGUGGGGAUGACGU
Molecule: ribosomal RNA, 1160 nt
Filed under: Lacticaseibacillus casei
Lineage: Bacteria; Bacillati; Bacillota; Bacilli; Lactobacillales; Lactobacillaceae
Description: bacterial SSU rRNA
Rfam family: Bacterial small subunit ribosomal RNA
Source: RNAcentral